GCCUGGGUGGCUCAGUGGGUUGAGCAUCUGACUUUGGCUCAGGUCAUAAUCUCGCAGUUGAUGAGUUCGAGCCCCAUGUCAGGCU
Molecule: transfer RNA, 85 nt
Filed under: Felis catus (domestic cat)
Lineage: Eukaryota; Metazoa; Chordata; Mammalia; Carnivora; Felidae
Rfam family: tRNA
About the family: Transfer RNA (tRNA) molecules are approximately 80 nucleotides in length. Their secondary structure includes four short double-helical elements and three loops (D, anti-codon, and T loops). Further hydrogen bonds mediate the characteristic L-shaped molecular structure. tRNAs have two regions of fundamental functional importance: the anti-codon, which is responsible for specific mRNA codon recognition, and the 3' end, to which the tRNAs corresponding amino acid is attached (by aminoacyl-tRNA synthetases). tRNAs cope with the degeneracy of the genetic code in two manners: having more than one tRNA (with a specific anti-codon) for a particular amino acid; and 'wobble' base-pairing, i.e. permitting non-standard base-pairing at the 3rd anti-codon position.
Source: Rfam by way of RNAcentral